UUUGAAGAACAGAGGGUGACA
Molecule: non-coding RNA, 21 nt
Filed under: Rattus norvegicus (Norway rat)
Lineage: Eukaryota; Metazoa; Chordata; Mammalia; Rodentia; Muridae
Source: RNAcentral